UUNUGAGGAUUACUCGGGGCUCAAGAUNGAACGGNGGCCNGCGGGCUUANCACAUAAAGUCAAGACGUUAACAAGAAGGCAGNGCGNGCUUCGCGGACGAGUGGCGGACGGGUGAGUAAUGUCUGGGAAACUGCNUGAUGGAGGGGGAUAAUAACUGAAAACGGUAGCUAAUACCGCAUAACGUCGCAAGACCAAAGAGGGGGACUUUCGGGCCUCUUGCCAUCGGAUGUGCCCAGAUGGGAUUAGCUAGUAGGUGGGGUAACGGUUCACCUAGGCGACGAUCCCUAGCUGGUCUGAGAGGAUGACCAGCCACACUGGAAUUGAGACACGGUCCAGACUCCUACGGGAGGCAGCAGUGGGGAAUAUUGCACAAUGGGCGCAAGCCUGAUGCAGCCAUGCCGCGUGUAUGAAGAAGGCCUUCGGGUUGUAAAGUACUUUCAGCGGGGAGGAAGGUGAUAAGGUUAAUAACCUCAGCAAUUGACGUUACCCGCAGAAGAAGCACCGGCUAACUCCGUGCCAGCAGCCGCGGUAAUACGGAGGGUGCAAGCGUUAAUCGGAAUUACUGGGCGUAAAGCGCACGCAGGCGGUCUGUCAAGUCGGAUGUGAAAUCCCCGGGCUCAACCUGGGAACUGCAUUCGAAACUGGCAGGCUAGAGUCUUGUAGAGGGGGGUAGAAUUCCAGGUGUAGCGGUGAAAUGCGUAGAGAUCUGGAGGAAUACCGGUGGCGAAGGCGGCCCCCUGGACAAAGACUGACNCNAGGUGCGAAAGNGNGGAGGCAAA
RNAcentral lists this ribosomal RNA (779 nucleotides) under Enterobacter cloacae. RNAcentral's name for it is "bacterial SSU rRNA". It matches the Rfam family "Bacterial small subunit ribosomal RNA", at positions 1 to 772 of the family's 1533-position model. Lineage: Bacteria; Pseudomonadati; Pseudomonadota; Gammaproteobacteria; Enterobacterales; Enterobacteriaceae. The record is from RNAcentral.